UCCAAGCCUAGAGAAACCAUGUACAGCAGA
Molecule: non-coding RNA, 30 nt
Filed under: Homo sapiens (human)
Lineage: Eukaryota; Metazoa; Chordata; Mammalia; Primates; Hominidae
Source: RNAcentral